CCUACGGGGGGCAGCAGUGAGGAAUAUUGGUCAAUGGGCGGGAGCCUGAACCAGCCAAGCCGCGUGAGGGAAGAAGGUACAGCGUAUCGUAAACCUCUUUUGUCAGGGAACAAAGGCGGGGACUAGUCCCCGGAUGAGGGUACCUGAAGAAAAAGCAUCGGCUAAUUCCGUGCCAGCAGCCGCGGUAAUACGGAGGAUGCGAGCGUUAUCCGGAUUUAUUGGGUUUAAGGGGUGCGCAGGCGGCCUGUUAAGUCAGCGGUAAAAGCCCGGGGCUCAACCCCGGCGGGCCGUUGAAACUGGGGGGCUUGAGGUGGCGAGAGGAACGCGGAAUGCGCGGUGUAGCGGUGAAAUGCUUAGAUAUCACGCAGAACCCCGAUUGCGAAGGCAGCGCACGGGCUCCACACUGACGCUGAGGCACGAAAGUGUGGGUAUCGAACAGGAUUAGAUACCCGAGUAGUC
Molecule: ribosomal RNA, 459 nt
Filed under: uncultured bacterium
Lineage: Bacteria
Description: partial 16S ribosomal RNA
Rfam family: Bacterial small subunit ribosomal RNA
Source: RNAcentral